This 253-nucleotide ribosomal RNA is filed under the name uncultured bacterium. RNAcentral's name for it is "partial 16S ribosomal RNA". It matches the Rfam family "Bacterial small subunit ribosomal RNA", at positions 524 to 776 of the family's 1533-position model. RNAcentral also lists the same sequence under 1 other name. The record is from RNAcentral.
UACGAGGGGGGCAAAUGUUGUUCGGAAUCACUGGGCGUAAAGGGAGCGUAGGCGGGUGUUUAAGUUAGGUGUUUAAUCCUGGGGCCCAACCCCAGUCGUGCACCUAAAACUGGACAUCUUGAAUAGUGGAGAGGUCAGUGGAAUUGGAGGUGUAGCGGUGGAAUGCGUAGAGAUCUCCAAGAACACCAGUUGCGAAGGCGGCUGACUGGACACAUAUUGACGCUGAGGCUCGAAAGCAUGGGGAGCAAACAGG